CCUACGGGAGGCAGCAGUGAGGAAUAUUGGUCAAUGGGCGGAAGCCUGAACCAGCCAAGUAGCGUGCGGGAUGAAGGCCCUACGGGUCGUAAACCGCUUUUGCACGGGGAUAACACCCUCCACUUGUGGAGGUCUGCGGGUACCGUGCGAAUAAGGGCCGGCUAAUUCCGUGCCAGCAGCCGCGGUAAUACGGAAGGCCCGAGCGUUAUCCGGAUUCAUUGGGCUUAAAGGGAGCGUAGGCGGGCGUUCAAGUCAGCUGUAAAAUCGCGCGGCUCAACCGCGCCCCGCAGUUGAAACUGGACGCAUUGAGUUCACAACAGGCAGGCGGAAUUCGUGGUGUGGCGGUGAAAUGCAGAGAUAUCACGAGGAACCCCGAUUGCGAAGGCAGCCUGCCGGGGUGCGACUGACGCUGAGGCUCGAAGGUGCGGGUAUCAAACAGGAUUAGAUACCCUAGUAGUC
This 459-nucleotide ribosomal RNA is filed under the name uncultured bacterium. RNAcentral's name for it is "partial 16S ribosomal RNA". It matches the Rfam family "Bacterial small subunit ribosomal RNA", at positions 338 to 795 of the family's 1533-position model. The record is from RNAcentral.